GGGUUGUGAGGUUAAGCGACUAAGCGUACACGGUGGAUGCCCUGGCAGUCAGAGGCGAUGAAGGGCGUGCUAAUCUGCGAUAAGCGCCGGUAAGGUGAUAUGAACCGUUAUAACCGGCGAUACCCGAAUGGGGAAACCCAGUGUGAUUCGUCACACUAUCAUUAACUGAAUCCAUAGGUUAAUGAGGCGAACCGGGGGAACUGAAACAUCUAAGUACCCCGAGGAAAAGAAAUCAACCGAGAUUCCCCCAGUAGCGGCGAGCGAACGGGGAGGAGCCCAGAGCCUGAAUCAGCAUGUGUGUUAGUGGAAGCGUCUGGAAAGGCGCGCGAUACAGGGUGACAGCCCCGUACACAAAAGCGCAUGUGCUGUGAGCUCGAUGAGUAGGGCGGGACACGUGGUAUCCUGUCUGAAUAUGGGGGGACCAUCCUCCAAGGCUAAAUACUCCUGACUGACCGAUAGUGAACCAGUACCGUGAGGGAAAGGCGAAAAGAACCCCGGCGAGGGGAGUGAAAAAGAACCUGAAACCGUGUACGUACAAGCAGUGGGAGCACAGGUUUACCUGUGUGACUGCGUACCUUUUGUAUAAUGGGUCAGCGACUUAUAUUCUGUAGCAAGGUUAACCGAAUAGGGGAGCCGGAGGGAAACCGAGUCUUAAUUGGGCGUUAAGUUGCAGGGUAUAGACCCGAAACCCGGUGAUCUAGCCAUGGGCAGGUUGAAGGUUGGGUAACACUAACUGGAGGACCGAACCGACUAAUGUUGAAAAAUUAGCGGAUGACCUGUGGCUGGGGGUGAAAGGCCAAUCAAACCGGGAGAUAGCUGGUUCUCCCCGAAAGCUAUUUAGGUAGCGCCUCGUGAAUUCAUCUCCGGGGGUAGAGCACUGUUUCGGCUAGGGGGCCAUCCCGGCUUACCAACCCGAUGCAAACUGCGAAUACCGGAGAAUGUUAUCACGGGAGACACACGGCGGGUGCUAACGUCCGUCGUGAAGAGGGAAACAACCCAGACCGCCAGCUAAGGUCCCAAAGUCAUGGUUAAGUGGGAAACGAUGUGGGAAGGCCCAGACAGCCAGGAUGUUGGCUUAGAAGCAGCCAUCAUUUAAAGAAAGCGUAAUAGCUCACUGGUCGAGUCGGCCUGCGCGGAAGAUGUAACGGGGCUAAACCAUGCACCGAAGCUGCGGCAGCGAACGUAUCACUUAAAGCGAUUCAGCGGGUUACGAUUGACGGAGCGAAGCGACGUCAAAGCGUAUACAAAGUCGAGUCGGUUUAAGGAUACGUUCGUUGGGUAGGGGAGCGUUCUGUAAGCCUGUGAAGGUGGCCUGUGAGGGUUGCUGGAGGUAU
This 1334-nucleotide ribosomal RNA is filed under the name Salmonella enterica subsp. enterica serovar Dublin. RNAcentral's name for it is "partial 23S ribosomal RNA". It matches the Rfam family "Bacterial large subunit ribosomal RNA", at positions 1 to 1282 of the family's 2925-position model. The record is from RNAcentral. Lineage: Bacteria; Pseudomonadati; Pseudomonadota; Gammaproteobacteria; Enterobacterales; Enterobacteriaceae.